GUACACUCCUACGGGAGGCAGCAGUGGGGAAUUUUGGACAAUGGGCGAAAGCCUGAUCCAGCAAUGCCGCGUGAGUGAAGAAGGCCUUCGGGUUGUAAAGCUCUUUUGUCAGGGAAGAAACGGUGAGAGCUAAUAUCUCUUGCUAAUGACGGUACCUGAAGAAUAAGCACCGGCUAACUACGUGCCAGCAGCCGCGGUAAUACGUAGGGUGCAAGCGUUAAUCGGAAUUACUGGGCGUAAAGCGUGCGCAGGCGGUUUUGUAAGUCUGAUGUGAAAUCCCCGGGCUCAACCUGGGAAUUGCAUUGGAGACUGCAAGGCUAGAAUCUGGCAGAGGGGGGUAGAAUUCCACGUGUAGCAGUGAAAUGCGUAGAUAUGUGGAGGAACACCGAUGGCGAAGGCAGCCCCCUGGGUCAAGAUUGACGCUCAUGCACGAAAGCGUGGGGAGCAAACAGGAUUAGAAACCCCAGUAGUCCCAUGAU
Molecule: ribosomal RNA, 479 nt
Filed under: uncultured organism
Description: partial 16S ribosomal RNA
Rfam family: Bacterial small subunit ribosomal RNA
Source: RNAcentral